CCUACGGGUGGCAGCAGUGAGGAAUAUUGGUCAAUGGGCGUAAGCCUGAACCAGCCAAGUCGCGUGAGGGAUGAAGGUUCUAUGGAUCGUAAACCUCUUUUAUAAGGGAAUAAAGUGCGGGACGUGUCCUGUUUGGUAUGUACCUUAUGAAUAAGGAUCGGCUAACUCCGUGCCAGCAGCCGCGGUUAUACGGAGGAUCAGAGCGUUAUCCGGAUUUAUUGGGGUUAAAGGGUGAGUAGGCGGCCAUUUAAGUCAGCGGGGAAAGUAUGUGGCUAAACCAUAGAAUUGCCGUUGAAACUGGGGGGCUUGAGUAUGUUUGAGGCAGGGGGAAUGCGUGGUGUAGCGGUGAAAGGCUUAGAGAUCACGCAGAACCCCGAGUGCGAAGGCAGCCUGCCAAGCCAUGACUGACGCUGAUGCACGAAAGCGUGGGGAUCAAACAGGAUUAGAUACCCCUGUAGUC
Molecule: ribosomal RNA, 460 nt
Filed under: uncultured bacterium
Lineage: Bacteria
Description: partial 16S ribosomal RNA
Rfam family: Bacterial small subunit ribosomal RNA
Source: RNAcentral